GACGAACGCUGGCGGCGUGCUUAACACAUGCAAGUCGAACGGAAAGGCCUGCUUUCCCUUGUGGAUUGCGGGUACUCGAGUGGCGAACGGGUGAGUAACACGUGAGUGAUCUGCCCCCAACUUGGGUAUAAGCCUGGGAAACUGGGUCUAAUUCCCGAUAGGACUGCAGGGUGGUGCCUGUGGUGGAAAACGAUUUUCUAGUGGUUGGGGAUGAGCUCGCGGCCUAUCAGCUUGUUGGUGGGGUAAUGGCCUACCAAGGCGGCGACGGGUAGCCGGCCUGAGGGGGUGGACGGCCACAUUGGGACUGAGAUACGGCCCAGACUCCUACGCGAGGCAGCAGUGGGGAAUAUUGCACAAUGGGCGGAAGCCUGAUGCAGCGACGCCGCGUGGGGGAUGACGGCCUUCGGGUUGUAAACUCCUUUCGACCGCGAGGAAGCCACCUGGUUGGAAGGGUGGUGACGGUAGUGGUAGAAGAAGCACCGGCUAACUACGUG
RNAcentral lists this ribosomal RNA (494 nucleotides) under uncultured bacterium. RNAcentral's name for it is "partial 16S ribosomal RNA". It matches the Rfam family "Bacterial small subunit ribosomal RNA", at positions 28 to 507 of the family's 1533-position model. The record is from RNAcentral.